GGAGAGGAAGGAGGCAGAGCAAUGGAGAGAUGCUGCUGAAGAGGCUUGCCUUUUUUUCCUGAUGAUCCUCCAAACCUCCUGUGCUGACUUAAAAAUAGCCACAGCAUCUCCAUGUGCUUGGCUUUGCUCUGCCUGGCUUAAUAGGAACCUUGCCACAAGUCCUGCUGUCUUUGAGUGCUAGCUCCUGCCAGCUCUCUGCUAAAAGGGCUGGGCUCUACCUCAGCUGACCCCAGCUCCCCAUAGACUUGCUUGUCCUCGGGUUGUAUUCUUCCUACCUGUCGGGAAGGAUCGGUGCAUGUUGGUUUUGGAGCAAGGGUUUGCCUCCCCACCACUAUUCCCUCUGGUAGUUGCGUUUAAAAGGAAGAGCAGGGGGAGAACAAGAUCCUGAAGAGUCAUGAAUGAUGUCUGAAGUUAUACUCGGGUUGGGACUGCGCUUAUUGAUUUUCAAUGAAACCAUGUACAGAAGGAAGAGACCUCCUUGCCUCCCUCUGAUCCAAGAUACUUCUCCAGCUUUUUUUUUUAAAAAAAAAAAAGCACAGGGGGAAAUCUGGCUGCAAGCAGUCAGGCUUCAACCAGCCUGUCAGACAGCUCUCUGCAGGAACACAAUCCAUGUUGAUUUUACAGAGAAGGUUGUUAUCCACAUUUCACCACUGAUUUAUUGUUUUUUAACCAGCUCCUUAUGCUGGGCUUUUUUUUUCCUUUUUUUUUUUUUUUUUUGUUAAAAAAAAAGUCCUUUUGCACUUGGCGAGUGGGAUUUGUGGUGCAGCAGCGCCCUGCCUCCUGUGCCCGCUGGGCAGCGGGGCUGAGUGCUGCCAUCUCAGCAGCCGGCCACUCGUGCCUUUUCCUUGAUAUUUGUGGGAUUUAUGGGGGCUGUGGCUGAUGCCCAGCUGGUGUGGGGCAACCUGGCUGCAAGCACGGAAAUGUCCCUGCCGGGCUCCUCGGCUGCUGAAAGAUGGGUACGGUGGAGGUGGGUUUGAUGAAGCCCCACAGAAUUAAACUGGCCAAAGGAGUCGCGUCGCCUCCAUCUGUAGAAUUCAUUAGGCGAGCUUGAUUGGCCUUUGUUAAACAAAGAUGGGAUAAGGUUUCAUACUUUUUCUGUGGGAGUCGAGCUAAAGUUUCAGGCUGAUGAUUUAGUCAGGUGUAAGCAUGAAGUUUCCAAUUUAGAGGAAUAAAUCUAAAGUGAUUUUAUUAUCCUCUGCUUUACCCUGACACCCUGCUUCACCCCGACUCGCUGUCAGAGCACACGUGAUGUGUUAGUGUGGGCCAGGCCCUCGUCGGCUGGCAGGCAGUACAACGCAAUGCACAGAAGGCAUCUUCCAUGCAACACUGACGCUGGUA
Oxyura jamaicensis (ruddy duck) is the source of this 1338-nucleotide long non-coding RNA. RefSeq lists it as uncharacterized. The record is from RefSeq and is a predicted model, not a curated record. The transcript has 5 exons. Lineage: Eukaryota; Metazoa; Chordata; Aves; Anseriformes; Anatidae.